GAAGGCAUCUUCUUGUUUUUAAAAGACCUAGCAAUAGGUAUGCUUAGGGAGGAGCUUGCGUCACAUUAGUUAGUUGGUGGGGUAAAGGCCUACCAAGACUAUGAUGUGUAGCCGGGCUGAGAGGUUGAACGGCCACAUUGGGACUGAGACACGGCCCAAACUCCUACGGGAGGCAGCAGUAGGGAAUUUUCGGCAAUGGAGGAAACUCUGACCGAGCAACGCCGCGUGAACGAUGAAGUAUUUCGGUACGUAAAGUUCUUUUAUUAGGGAAGAAUAAAUGAUGGAAAAAUCAUUCUGACGGUACCUAAUGAAUAAGCCCCGGCUAACUAUGUGCCAGCAGCCGCGGUAAUACAUAGGGGGCAAGCGUUAUCCGGAAUUAUUGGGCGUAAAGGGUGCGUAGGCGGUUAAAUAAGUUUAUGGUCUAAGUGCAAUGCUCAACAUUGUGAUGCUAUAAAAACUGUUUAGCUAGAGUAAGAUAGAGGCAAGUGGAAUUCCAUGUGUAGUGGUAAAAUGCGUAAAUAUAUGGAGGAACACCAGUAGCGAAGGCGGCUUGCUGGGUCUUUACUGACGCUGAGGCACGAAAGCGUGGGGAGCAAACAGGAUUAGAUACCCUGGUAGUCCACGCCGUAAACGAUGAGUACUAAACGUUGGGUAAAACCAGUGUUGAAGUUAACACAUUAAGUACUCCGCCUGAGUAGUACGUACGCAAGUAUGAAACUUAAAGGAAUUGACGGGACUCCGCACAAGCGGUGGAUCAUGUUGUUUAAUUCGAAGGUACCCGAAAAACCUCACCAGGUCUUGACAUGCUUCUGCAAAGCUGUAGAAACACAGUGGAGGUUAUCAGUUGCACAGGUGGUGCAUGGUUGUCGUCAGCUCGUGUCGUGAGAUGUUGGGUUAAGUCCCGCAACGAGCGCAACCCUUAUUGUUAGUUACCAGCACGUAAUGGUGGGGACUUUAGCAAGACUGCCAGUGAUAAAUUGGAGGAAGGUGGGGACGACGUCAAAUCAUCAUGCCCCUUAUGACCUGGGCUACAAACGUGAUACAAUGGCUGUUACAAAGGGUAGCUGAAGCGCAAGUUUUUGGCGAAUCUCAAAAAAACAGUCUCAGUUCGGAUUGAAGUCUGCAACUCGACUUCAUGAAGUUGGAAUCGCUAGUAAUCGCGAAUCAGC
This 1169-nucleotide ribosomal RNA is filed under the name 'Brassica napus' phyllody phytoplasma. RNAcentral describes it as "bacterial SSU rRNA". It matches the Rfam family "Bacterial small subunit ribosomal RNA", at positions 184 to 1353 of the family's 1533-position model. Lineage: Bacteria; Bacillati; Mycoplasmatota; Mollicutes; Acholeplasmatales; Acholeplasmataceae. The record is from RNAcentral.